CCCUUAGAUGUUCUGGGCCGCACGCGUGCUACACUGAGUGGAUCAGCGGGUCAGGUUGCGCGAAAGUGUUUCCUAAUCUUGAAAUCCGCUCGUGAUGGGGAUUGACGGUUGCAAUUUUCUGUCAUGAACGAGGAAUACCUUGUAAGCGCGGGUCAUCAUCCCGCGCUGAAUACGUCCCUGCCCUUUGUACACACCGCCCGUCGCUCCUACCGAUUGAGUGGUCCGGUGAGGCUUUGGGAUCUGGAUGGAAAGAGCGUUUCGCUGUUUCUGCCCGGAAAACUCAGUCGAACCUUAUCAUUGAGAGGAAGGAGAAGUCGUAACA
Molecule: ribosomal RNA, 322 nt
Filed under: uncultured eukaryote
Lineage: Eukaryota
Description: partial 18S ribosomal RNA
Rfam family: Eukaryotic small subunit ribosomal RNA
Source: RNAcentral